Paramuricea clavata is the source of this 123-nucleotide non-coding RNA. The record is from the annotation of a GenBank genome assembly. NCBI's taxonomy places the organism in Eukaryota, Metazoa, Cnidaria, Anthozoa, Malacalcyonacea, Plexauridae.
UGUUGGUGUAAUGUACUCAGGUGAAUAUGAUGCUUGUGAUGUUACUCUGAGUGUAUAUCCACACCGGGCAAGCUGUAAUGAGUAGUAACAUCACAAGCAUCAUAUUCACCUGAGUACAUUACG